RNAcentral lists this ribosomal RNA (398 nucleotides) under uncultured eukaryote. RNAcentral's name for it is "SSU rRNA". It matches the Rfam family "Eukaryotic small subunit ribosomal RNA", at positions 587 to 990 of the family's 1831-position model. The record is from RNAcentral.
AGCUCCAAUAGCGUAUAUUAAAGUUGUUGCAGUUAAAAAGCUCGUAGUCGGAUUUCGGGGCGACGCAUUCGGUCUGCCGAAGGGUAAGUACUGGGUGUUGCGUCCUUCCUUCUGGAGACUGGUUCUACUCUUAACUGAGCGGGGUCAGGAAACAGAUCGUUUACUUUGAAAAAUCAGAGUGUUUCAAGCAGGCAGCUCGCUCUUGCAUGGAUUAGCAUGGGAUAAUGAAAUAGGACUUUGGUGCUAUUUUGUUGGUUUCGAACACCGAAGUAAUGAUUAACAGGGACAGUCAGGGGCACUCGUAUUCCGCCGAGAGAGGUGAAAUUCUCAGACCAGCGGAAGACGAACUACNGCGAAAGCAUUUGCCAGGGAUGUUUUCACUGAUCAAGAACGAAAGU